GAUGAAGAACGUAGCGAAAUGCGAUAAGUAAUGCGAAUUGCAGAAUUCCGUGAGUCAUCGAAUCUUUGAACGCACAUUGCGCCCUUUGGUAUUCCGAAGGGCAUGCCUGUUCGAGCGUCAUUAUCAACCCUCAAGCUUGGCUUGCUGUUGGGUUCUGUUGGGCAUAGAUCUCAACAAACCUCAAAGAUAAUGUCAGAGCCCGUGUGGACCUGGAUGCAGCGAGCUUCUUAGCACGCAUCACAGCGAUCCUCCGGCUCGGUCUCACACCUUUUUAUUCACUGGUUGACCUCGGAUCAGGUAGGGAUACCCGCUGAACUUAAGCAUAUCAAUAAGCGGAGGA
RNAcentral lists this unclassified non-coding RNA (340 nucleotides) under soil metagenome. Its description in RNAcentral is "partial contains 5.8S ribosomal RNA, internal transcribed spacer 2, and large subunit ribosomal RNA". The stretch from base 1 to 120 matches the Rfam family "5.8S ribosomal RNA", at positions 35 to 154 of the family's 154-position model. The record is from RNAcentral.